AGUAUUCUAAGGUGAAGUGGUA
RNAcentral lists this non-coding RNA (22 nucleotides) under Rattus norvegicus (Norway rat). The record is from RNAcentral. Lineage: Eukaryota; Metazoa; Chordata; Mammalia; Rodentia; Muridae.